UGGGGAAUAUUGGACAAUGGGCGAAAGCCUGAUCCAGCGAUGCCGCGUGUGUGAAGAAGGCCUGCGGGUUGUAAAGCACUUUCGGUUGGGAAGAAAGAGCGAUCACUAAUACUGAUCGAAGUUGACGUUACCAAAAGAAGAAGCACCGGCUAACUCUGUGCCAGCAGCCGCGGUAAUACAGAGGGUGCAAGCGUUAAUCGGAAUUACUGGGCGUAAAGGGUGCGUAGGUGGUUGUGUAAGUUGGAUGUGAAAUACUCGGGCUUAACCUGGGGGCUGCAUUCAAAACUGCAUGACUAGAGUAAGGUAGAGGGAAGUGGAAUUUCCGGUGUAGCGGUGAAAUGCGUAGAUAUCGGAAGGAACACCAGUGGCGAAGGCGGCUUCCUGGACCUAUACUGACACUGAGGCACGAAAGCGUGGGGAGCAAACAGG
This 429-nucleotide ribosomal RNA is filed under the name uncultured bacterium. RNAcentral describes it as "bacterial SSU rRNA". It matches the Rfam family "Bacterial small subunit ribosomal RNA", at positions 355 to 776 of the family's 1533-position model. The record is from RNAcentral.